UAUCUCUGUAGAGUCUGCAUAUCAAUAAGCGGAGGAAAAGAAACUAACAAGGAUUCCCCUAGUAACGGCGAGUGAAGCGGGAAGAGCUCAAAUUUGAAAUCUUCAAGGUUUGACCUUGACGAAUUGUAGUUUAAAGAAGUGUUUUCGGUUAGAGGAGUAGUAAAAGUUCUUUGGAAUAGGACAUCAUAGAGGGUGAGAAUCCCGUAUUUGACUAUUCUUUCUAGCUUUGUGAUACACUUUCAAAGAGUCGGAUUGUUUGGGAAUGCAGUCCAAAAUGGGUGGUAAAUUUCAUCUAAAGCUAAAUAUUGGCGAGAGACCGAUAGCGAACAAGUACCGUGAGGGAAAGAUGAAAAGAACUUUGAAAAGAGAGUUAAACAGUACGUGAAAUUGUCAAAAGGGAAGCGUUUGACACCAGUGUUGUUUUUCCGAAAAUCAAUUAAAAAUUGAUUCAUGCCAGGUUGUAUUGACCUUAUCAGCUUGCAAUUUGGUUUGGGUCUCUUUUUGAUGCACUUUUCGGUUAACAAGUCAACAUCAAUUUCCUUUGCUGUAAAAAGGUAAGAGGAAGGUGGCUUCAAUUUCGGUUGAAGUGUUUAUAGCCUUUUAUCUCUGCAGUCGGGGAGAUUGAGGUCUGCAGCGUAGAUCCUUCGGGGCUAGAUACAUUUAUGCUAAGUUAUAGCUUUUCAUAGACAACUUGUUGACUAUGUUUAGUCAUGUAGCUUACUCGUAAGUGCUAUUUUACCUACGCUUAGGAUGUUGAAGACUCUACAGAGAUA
RNAcentral lists this ribosomal RNA (773 nucleotides) under uncultured Neocallimastigales. RNAcentral's name for it is "partial large subunit ribosomal RNA". It matches the Rfam family "Eukaryotic large subunit ribosomal RNA", at positions 24 to 642 of the family's 3401-position model. The record is from RNAcentral. Lineage: Eukaryota; Fungi; Neocallimastigomycota; Neocallimastigomycetes; Neocallimastigales.